This 1257-nucleotide long non-coding RNA is filed under the name Anas platyrhynchos platyrhynchos (common mallard). RNAcentral's name for it is "lncRNA (ENSAPLG00000023389.1)". Lineage: Eukaryota; Metazoa; Chordata; Aves; Anseriformes; Anatidae. The record is from RNAcentral.
UAGGCAGGACCUACCCUUCACAAACCCAUGCUGGCUGGGACCAAUGACAUACAAUGAAUACAUUAAACUGUUUUUUUGUUUGUUUGUUUGUUUGUUUGUUUUUUAAGAUAUAAAGCUCUAUAUAACUUCUAAACAGGGCUAUUAUUUACGGUGUUUUCAUUUUUUAAAAUACCCUAUUGUCAGAAAAAUUUAGAGACAAAUAGCUGCAGUUCCAAACAAAUGAAAACUAGAUAUGAGCCACAAUGCUAAAAUAUAAAGAAAAUCUAGAUAAGCUAAUCUAUAGAAUUUGGAUGUAACUGGAUGUACAACUUACUCUGAAAAGUUAAUUGAACAGUUAGAAGCUGGUAGAAGCUACAUGGAAGGUGGCUACCUUCCAUGGGAAACUGAUUAAGUAAUAAAUUCAAGCAUCAUCAAUCUAUCAUCAAUCUAAAAUAAUGCACUUAAAAUUGUUUCUUUGCUUGUUACUGCAUUUCACUGUGUUGAAUCAUUAGUUUUUAUUAAAAUGUGACAAUGCUGCACAGUAAACUACUAACCAGUUUUUAACAGAGAGGUUUAAGAGACAAAAACCCAUAAAGUUAUCUUCCUGGAUGUUAUCUGGCCAUAAAUGAGAGUAUAUGUUAUGAUGAUCUGACUUGACUUUAUAUGCUAUGUAGGUGGAGAAAGGGAGCAGAAAUCAUAUCCAAGAAAGCUGAGAGAAAAUUGAGACAUCUGGAUGCAGCAAAAAAGCAACUCAAAAGACAAGUGUAGGAACAUCCUGGAUUUUGGAGAGAGGAGAGGCCCAAAGGGUGUUCAACUGGAAAACUGUCUAAUGAACCUGAAAUGCCCAAUGGUCCCACAGGAAUCCAUCAAUUAUUUUGAACAUAUGCAUUGGGCAUUCUGAACUCCUACUGUCUCUGUCGUUAUUCUGAACUUGUACUCACAAACACAUCGCUCUCCAAACCACUGCUAAGGACACCGUAACAUUGGCAUCCUCAAGUGGGAAUGUCCAACUGUUGCAGGGUAACUGACUUGCAAGCUUUGGUGUUUACCUGUAUUUGAGAUAAGUCACUCUACACAGUCUUAUAAUCAAAAAUUUGUAAGUGCAGCCUUGCUAAACAGAGCAUGUCACUGUAUUUGGAUCAGGUUCAGAGAACUGAGAAGGCUGGCAGACUUGAGGCCUAUACCUGAUUUUAUCACCAGUAAACUGCACCUAUAAACAACAUAGUUUAUCCCUUAAUUAUACUUCCAUAAUAAAUAAAUCUUCGGGGAACGGAGACA